This 68-nucleotide transfer RNA is filed under the name Marmota monax (woodchuck). RNAcentral describes it as "tRNA.Gly". The stretch from base 5 to 65 matches the Rfam family "tRNA", at positions 6 to 65 of the family's 71-position model. Rfam says of the family: Transfer RNA (tRNA) molecules are approximately 80 nucleotides in length. Their secondary structure includes four short double-helical elements and three loops (D, anti-codon, and T loops). Further hydrogen bonds mediate the characteristic L-shaped molecular structure. tRNAs have two regions of fundamental functional importance: the anti-codon, which is responsible for specific mRNA codon recognition, and the 3' end, to which the tRNAs corresponding amino acid is attached (by aminoacyl-tRNA synthetases). tRNAs cope with the degeneracy of the genetic code in two manners: having more than one tRNA (with a specific anti-codon) for a particular amino acid; and 'wobble' base-pairing, i.e. permitting non-standard base-pairing at the 3rd anti-codon position. Lineage: Eukaryota; Metazoa; Chordata; Mammalia; Rodentia; Sciuridae. The record is from RNAcentral.
GGACUGUAGCUUAGUGGCAGAGCUCUUGCCUACCAUGCAUGAGGGACUGAGUUCCAUCCUCAGCACCA